Molecule: long non-coding RNA, 582 nt
Organism: Neogale vison (American mink)
Lineage: Eukaryota; Metazoa; Chordata; Mammalia; Carnivora; Mustelidae
Exons: 3
Source: RefSeq, a predicted model, not a curated record
UGGAUUUUUCAUAUAUGGCAUUUAUAAGGCUGAGGUGUUGGAACAGGCAGUGGCUGGACAAUGCCACGUUACCAGCUGGGGAGACGUCCGCUUUGCACCCUCUGAUUUUGAAGGCUAUAUGCUGCGUAUUUCAAAAUGGACUGGAAGCACCACCCAUCAGAAGCACUCACGAUGUAAUGCACAGCGUGUGGUUACACAGCAGUGCUUUUUAAUUACUCGGUCUGAAGAGUUAACAGAGGCUGCAGUUACACUCAGAGCCAGGUUGUCUGAAUUCAAAUCUCAUUUCAGUCACUUGCUGGGCAUGUGAUCACGGCAAAUCACUGAACUUCUCGGGCCUCAGUUUCUCCAUCUGCAAAAUGGGCUCAGGAUUAUUAUGAUAGUAUUAUGAAUUAAUACAUGUGAGGCACCGUAUGGAUUCGAUAAUUAUUAUCUGAGCAACCAUUCUUGGCCUUCACUUUCUUAGCUACUUAUGAACAAGAACAUGGGGGAAAUGAAAUAAAAGCACAUAUCUCCUUAAAGCAUGCAACACAAAGCCUGUUUCUUGGUGUUUUCAUUCCAUGAGUGUGGGUAGACAGCCAGCCG